RNAcentral lists this unclassified non-coding RNA (14433 nucleotides) under Penaeus japonicus. RNAcentral describes it as "uncharacterized LOC122250818, transcript variant X12". Lineage: Eukaryota; Metazoa; Arthropoda; Malacostraca; Decapoda; Penaeidae. The record is from RNAcentral.
GCCUGGUGCCCGCUGUCUAUUGUGGUGGGGAGCGCGCGGACCCGUCAGUGAUCCCGAGGGUGCUGGGGAGGCGAGAGGUCUUGGUAUUGUGUCGCGCACUUUCUCACGCAUUUUGCCGCCAUCAUGAAGGAGUGGGUCAGAUUAUUCAGUGAUGUAGUGACGCGGGCCUUUUACGGCACCAGGACACCGGCUGCGACUCCGCUGUCAGAGUCCAGCGAAGAUCCCGCUCAGCAAACUCCUGCCGCGAGUCCUCCGCUGACAGCAGCGCCCUCUCUCCCUUCAGCAGGUAAAGCAGCUUCUGACCCUCCCCCUCCCCCCUUCGCGGCACCUCCCCAGACGCGCCCCAGCACCAGUAGCGUCCCCUUAGGCUUCCCUCAGUCGUCCACAGCCCCGGUCACAAUCCCUCCGAAAGCACCGAGUACGACCGCAAGGCAGUCCUCCCCGUCGGGAAGUGCCCAGUCACUGUGGUCGCGAUUCUAUGGCUCCGCCCCUCCAGCUCAGUCUCAGGAAAAGGUUGCCUGUGACACUGGACAGGAGCGGGGAAGGGGCCGUGGGCGUGGGCGAGGUGGGGGCCGAGGGCGUGGUAGAGCGGCGUCUCUUGAAGGCGGGAAUGAUAGUCUGCGAGGCGGCCCAGACUCCAAAGGGCCUAAGGGCAGCCAGCAUCCCCAGAAACCCUCCCCAUCCGCUUCCCCGCACAGCGCUCGAAAUUCUAAUUCCUCAGUCCCUCCUCGACCGAAACGACCUGGCUCUUGGCGCCAGUUGCCCGGCGCUAUAUCUCGUUCGCUGAGUCCCGACAAAGUAGCCCCGCCCCAGGAGCCUUCGUCAGUGGAUGAGGACGGCUUCACCCUCGUGCAGCGUCGCAGUAAGCCGGGACGACCUCCUCCCAGUCCUCGCUCGAACGGAGCUGUCAGUCAGGGCGAGGACACCUUCUAUGAUGCAAACUCCACACACGAUUCUUUUGCGAAAGACAACUUUGCUCUGAACAAAGAAGAUUUCCCAGGCAUACUGAAGGUUCGUAAUGGAGCCAGCCAAAAGUCAGGAGCGUCGCGAUCGCCGUCGACCCAUAAGCGACCUGCCUCUCAAGAGUCAGGAAACUGCAAUCGAGCCAGAAGCAGCAGUGCAAACGAUGGUUCUUCACAAAAGGAGGAGUCAAAGGAACAGCUGAAAAAAUCCUCUAAGAACCAAACUCGAAAAUUGCCUUCUGUCAGUCAGUCGCCCACCAGAAAUAAACAAGAAAAAGCAAAGGAUCAAAAGAACGAAGCUGAAAAGCAAAAGGAAAAGCCUGAAGCAAUAAAACAAGCGCUUUCGGAAAAGCAACUGAACGACCAGAGUACACUCGAAGAUGAGGGUGAUGCUUCGAAGCUGAAGGAAAAACCUAAUGACAAGAUAAGCAGGAAAAAUGGAGCGGCAGUUGGUAAAGAUAUCCAGAAGCGUAAAGUAGAAAUGGAUGCGGUGAACACAAAUAUCGAUUCCCAGAAGAAACCAACACAGACAGUAGAAAACAAAAAAACAGACAGCAAGGCAGUAAAGGAAACUGAAAAAAUCGUAAAUGAUACUAGCGGCAAAGGACACCCCAUAGAAAAUUAUGAGGCCGCAGUAAACAAUGAAAAUAAACCAAAAAAGACGAAAAGGAAAAACAAGCGGAAAUCAGGCAAAGCCGACAACAUCGAGGCCGAAAACGAAAAUACAAGGAAGGAGCAGCAGACGAGCCCACCUGCUGAAUGUCAAGAAGAGCCCAACGAGGUAGACAGUCAGGUCGAUCACACACUAGAACCCAGGAUGCAGACGUCAGAAAGUUCCAUAAGAGAGAAGGAGAACGCUGAGGUUCCCAUGAUUUCUGCCCCGGAAGACCACAAAGAGAACGAACCAGAGGAAACCCCGGAAGAAUCGACAUCUGAAAUGAACACUUUAUCUGGCUAUGUAAUGGACCACUACCAAACACUCUUCCCGAAGACGAAGACAGUACAAAAAGAAGUCACAGAGGAUGAAGGACAUGACCGCGAUGGCCUCGAAGAGACGAUACCAGAUAAGGUAUCGGUUGAUGAUGUAGUGGAUAAUGAGAUUAUUCAGAAAGAUAACUUGCAGUGUAAUGAAGAUUCCAGCACAGGCCAAGGGACUGACGAAGGUGAAGGCAUGGAGAAAAUCACGAUCACAGUGGAAGACUGUGAGAUACCUCAUAAAACAGUGAAGCCAGAACAAGAGGAGAAAAGCGAGUUUCCUGUAGAUGUAGAAAUCGAAAAUUCAGCAGCUGAAAAAGACCAGUUGCAAGAACGCAUCGACGAACCUCACGCAGAGUCUGGCGACGAGUCUUGUGAAGUAACUUUAGUCAUUCCGGUGAGAAAGGAAAGCAUUCACGAGGAAGUUGACGUGGGUGAACUUGAUAUGGAGGUCAGCAUCGUCUUACAAAAUAUCGCGAGCAGUUUAGAGAAUUCCGAAGACUCAGAAGGAACCGGUGGUUCUACUGAGGUAGAACACUCCUUUGAGUGCAGAAGUACAGACCACGACCCAGGGGGAUUAAUCAAUGAUUAUAUGAAAAAUCAUACGAUAUAUACAGACGACGACUCCAGCGGGGUAGACGAUUAUCAGAUAAUUGACGCUAAGCAGACCGAGGAGGAAGACAUUUCUAGCGAUACAAUCAAGAAUAAGGAAAUAACUGCCGAAGAAAUUAAAGAAGCAUUGCCGAGUGAAUGCUUAGACACACCUGUCAAGAAUGAAAUUCAAGAAGAGAAGGUUGCAGAUCAGCCAACCCUGACAAGUCAGAACCACGGCAGCAAAACUGAGAUCACAAAAUUGAAAGACAUUAUACUAGAGAAAAAGAAAAAUAUCCAGACAAUACAGGACGCGUUGAAAGGACACGUGGUGGAUGUAAGCCAAGUCAAAGGGGCUGCCAAGGAACACAAGGACUCCAAGGACUUAGACCCUGAUGUCGACAAGGAGAAUAAGAAGGAUGAGAAGGACGUCUCCGAUCUGAGCAGCACACACAGACAAAGUCCCGACGGAGCUGAGGCCGACGUCGGGAUGCUGUGGGUGUUCGAGAAGCCCGUCGUCCAAGGGCGAAAGGACGUCGCCAGCCUGAACAUGACCAUUGCCGAGACGAUGAACAAAGAUAAGACCGAAAAAACAGAAACAGAUAAGGGAGAUAAGAAUGCUGAAAAAUUAAAGGAAAUGAAGAAACCCGACGAGAAAAUCAAACAGGACGAAGACAUAGAAAGAAUGCUCGAAGAAGAAAGGCUCCAGAGGAAGAAGAAACGAGAAGAGAAACAUAAAAAAGAGGAGGAGAUAGACCUGAUGAGAAAGGAAAUAAAGACAAAUUUGGAAAAACGGAAGAAACCAAAUAAAAAAGAAGAAUGUCACGUUAAAGAAGGCGAGGUGAAGAGGAAAGAAGAAGCUAAGAGAAAAGAUGAUGAAAAAAGAGAUGUAGAACAGGAUAUCGGAGAACGUAGAGAAACAUCAGCGACGAAGGAAGAGCACGGAAGAAUAACAAAUGAAAAAGAAGAAGAGAUACAAACGAAGGAUAAGGAAGAGGCUAAAACGAAGGAAGCGACGCAUGCGCAAGAUAACACUCUAAAGGAAAUUCAAAAUCUGCAAAGUGACGAGAGAGAAAAAGAGGAAAGAAAAGAGAAGAGAAAAAUACGCGAAGAAGUGUCCAAAGAAACAGAAGCGAAUCGCGAUCAGCACGACCGAAUUCCAGUUGAAAUCGAAAACAUCAGCGACGAGGAACUCCAAAGACGGAGGGAGAAGGAAGAGCGAAAGGAAAAGAGAAGGAAGAGGCGAGAGGAAAAAGUAAAAAUAAAAGAGAUGCUAAGAAGGGAACAGAAUUAUGAUGAAAACUUAUUACAAGACCUUCGCCGGUUGGAAAUGGAAAAACGGAAAGAAAAGGAGGAAAGGAGGCAAAGGAAACAAAAGAAGCGCGAAAGAGAACCAAAGAGUCCGGAAGCCAAAGAACCCGAGGGGCGGGAACGAGACCAGAGGGAGAGAGCAAUCGACGAAGGAAAGGAAAUACAGCGAAGUGAAGAAAGGCAGAAGCAACACGAAGAGAGCCAAGAAAAUGCCGUUGCACCUGAACGAGAAACAGCAGAGGAGAAAACAGAUAGAGACAAAAAGAAUUGUGACGUAGAAAUGGAGCAAGAAGAGGCGCUGCGUCAUAACAUAAAUAACAAGGACAACUUCAGUGACUCAACUGCCACUGUUAUAUUUGUGCCUGGCGACCGCAGUUGCUCGCAUGACAGAGCUCAGGACACACAUGACGGGAGGAAGGAAGCUAGGGCAGAUGCCAAAGAUAAUGCUAAAGACAAGCAAGAAGGCGACCUCGAGGAGUCCCCCGCGGCAAGAAAAGACAAGGAAAACCCUCCUUUAAACCGGAAUGAUAAAAGAGAUUCACCAGAAUUAGACGAGAUACAGACUGAGAAACUCGACAUGAAAGACAACAAGGUAAAAGAGAGCAGCCCCCAAAAGGAGGGCAGAGAUCAGGAGGAACCAACGGAAGAUACCUCGCAACCGACUGCAAGACGAAGAAGAAGACGAACAGAGGAUGAGACGGCGGAAGAUGCGUCGAUUGGAGGACUGUUCAACGGCAUUUCCAAUUUCAGUGUUCUUAAGAAAUUCGAAGAACUGGUUGCCGAACGGAGAAAGAGAAAAAGCAAACGUCUUGAAACCGACCCGACUCAAGAGCCCCAACGUGAGGAACCUGCUGAAGCUCCAAGACAAAGAAAAAGGACUCAGCAGGCGCCAAACUCCGAAGAGCCGAAAAAGGAAGAGGGGCCUUCCGUCCCCGAGAGCCAGUCAGCAAGAAGGAGGAGGCGGGUGACGGAGGACGACCAGGCCAGCAAGGAUUACGACGAGAUCUUUGCCCGACGGCGUCAGCGGAAGAGUCGCCUGGUGGAGGGUGACAGCAGUCAGAUAGAUGACGACCGUCGCUCCACGUUCGCCUCCGAGAGCCAGGAUUCCCAGCCAGUAGCUGCGAAUGACGCCGAGAAGCACUUCGAGGAGAUCCUUCAAAGGAGGAAGCGCAUCCGGAGAAAGAGGUACGUGUCCUUGCACAAGGACGACCAGGAGCACACUGGCGGCUCUUCACCUACGCUGGGGUCGCGAGAACACUCGUCAGAACUAAGUGAAGUUACGAAUAAAAAUCGAAAAGCCGAUAUAAAAAGAUCGCCGUCGCCGUCAAAAUGCUAUGGAAGUGACCGAAAAUCGCCUUCAAAGGCUGAUACCUGUGGAAAACAAGAAAGUGACAGUGAUUCUAGUGAUGGCGACAAAGUGAAUGUGACAAAGCAAAGACAGUGCAGACCGAGUAUUGAUACUAAUCACGACGUCGGCGUCACCAGGAUCUCCGAUGAUGAGCUGAGCACACCGUCCUCCAGCUACGGAUCCAGGUAUGACUCGAACGCCGCGAGCAGCAAUGUGCCCACCGUGUCCUACCGCGCCGCCCUCAGCAGGGAGCGGUCUGCCUCGCAGGAGCGCGCUGCGAAUGAAAGCAGGACGAGUUAUGGCUCUGGCUCAGGCUUCCUCCCACGACCUCGCCCGACCUCGCUCAGGUUUGUGGGUGCCUACACCACCUCCCUUCUCUCACCAGGCGGCAAUACCUAUAGCUCCCGCUUCGCCUCCAGCAGCAACGAGAAGCCUUCCGGAGUUUCAUCCAUCGCUUCGAAGUUUGGAGAAACGAAACCUGCGUCACCUACCUACAGAGUCCGCCCCUCCUCCCUCUCCACCACCUCCGCUGGGCCCGCCGCCACCACCUCCACCACUUCACUCUCUGCUCCCUCGCCCGCCUCCUCCUCCAGAUUCUCCAGAGAUUCCUCUCGCUCCGAGGGCGGGAGAUCUCCGGGAACCUCCUACACCUCACGACUCAACAGCGGUACAAAUUUCGAACGAUCAGGAUAUAAUUCUGAUGCGAAGUCGGGCUAUGGCUCCGACUACAAUAAAUCUGGCUAUGGUUCCGGCUAUGGCUCUGGUUCCAACUACAGUUCUCGCUACAGUUACUCGCGAAGUAACAGUUACCUGAAAGACUCGGAGCCCAGCAACUCGUACAGGCCCACUUACAGUAGGGAGAACAGCUAUCUUGGCAGUGAUACAGGCAGCGGCUCAGGUUGGAGGUCCCGUGUUUACGGAAGCGAUGCCGAAACGAACUCGAACACUUACACGAGGACGAGAACUCGUGACAUGACAAACUCUGCUGACCAGACAUCUCAGUCGAAUUCAACCCAACAAAAUGGCAGUGACGUCGCCGUUCCUGCCUUCAGAGAGGCUAUCGAUAAACUGACAAAGGCCGCAAGGGACGAACAGAAGGAAGGUAAAAAUCUGGAACUUCUGUCUCCGAAUGCAGUGCGAGUCCUACCGUCCUUCACUCCAGGGGAAAUUGUACUGAAGAACAAAGCCCCAGCCGACUUUAGUUCCGCUGCGGAAAGUUCUGACGAUGAAACAGGCAAGAAGAAAGAUGAGAAAAAUGCAACAGAGCCUACAUCAUCAACUCCCACAUCAACUACUACAAGCACGCCUACUCGAGCUUUCCGCCACCUGUCAGCCGUCCCAGCUCUGCCAACGAAGCCUUCUACUUCUCCAACACAAGGUUUGGCUGCUCCUCCUACCUUCAAACGAUCGUCCAGAUACACAACCGCCGCGACUGAGAGCCUCCCGACCUCUACAUCGCCGUCCAAGUGGUUGAAAGACAAGGACGAAUCAGCCUCGCCGACGCCAACGGUUCGCACGAGAAGCAACCUGGCCGUCGGGGACUCGAGUCCGAAGUCCACAUCGCCUCUUCCACCUCGCUCUCCGGUGCUUGGCUAUGGGAAAACUUCUUCCCCUACAGCCGAGAGAAAAGGAACGUCUACCGUUGGAAAUAAGGAAUGCCGAAAGUCAGUCCUAAAUAUGGAUAUCAGACCCAUGGACACAGAAGCUAUGAGGAAGCAACAAGAGGAGAAGAGAGAAGAGCUAAGAAGACUUAGGAGGCAGCGAGGAAACGACGACGACAAUAAAGGAAGCAGAAGACCUCCUACUGGGACUGUAAGGACAAGGUCAGGAGCCAAGCUCGAAGAUAUUGGUCGGCAGCGAUCAAGAGGCUCUGGAUCUGACUUAGCAAAACAGGCAUCACAGUCGAAAGUUCCAGAAGAGGAGGAGGAAUCUAGCAGCAGUGACGAAGACAAACGCGAAGACAAACCUCCAGUGCCUCCUUCAAUGGAGAAGUCAUCGUCUAAAUCUAGGGUUGUAGAAAGAAAACAUUCCAAAGGUAAAGGAGAUGCCAUGCGGCGCAGUGGUUCUAUGCGACGCUUCCGACAGUCGUCUCAGACAAGCAAAACAUCCUCUGAUUCCUCCUCAUCAGAAAGUGAUGAUGAAACACCGGUGGUCACCAUCACGUUGCGCAGGAGGCGGAGGAGCUCCCGAGAAGACAUGUCAGGAGAAAAUCAAAGCCGCCUAUCUCCACGAACAUCCCCAAGAAUGGCGAAAAAGGGCUCAUCAGACGAUAUACUGGAAGGUCAGCGAUCUCGCAACAAUUCCACAUCAAAUUUUGUUGGUAGGAGAUCGCGCCAAAGUUCAAAUAACUCGUCAUCCAACCUGGCUAAAUCUCGCUCGGGUAAUAAUUCUCGUGGCAGUAUUGGCGACCAAGAUAAAUCCCGAAGUAAUUCGCGAUCUAGCAUCCUUGGUGAUAAAAAGCUGUCCAUCGGGCCAGACAUCGACAUAGGGGAAAGGAAUGACUCAUCUAGCAAAAUUGCAGGCAGUAAGAGCAAAAGCAACAACAAUCUUUUGCGUGGUAAAUCGAGCGAUAAACUUAAACGAACCAAAGAUGAGAAGAGUGAAAGCUCCAGUGAGAGUGAGACAUCUGAGACCUCAGACUCCAGUGAAUCUGCUGGUGAAGAAGGUCAGUUCUUCUCACUUGCCAAAUCUCGAUCAGUAAAGAAAUCCAAGUCAGGCCUGAACAAGCUUAAUGAAGCUUCGAAACUACAGGAGCUGGGAGACAGGACAAGUCCUGAUGGCAAGGAACAUGUAUCCAGAACAAAUUCAGGUGCUGAUAAUUCUGAAUUUCCUUGUGGAAGCCCGGCUGCCUCUAAUGCUAACCUUGCUGUCCCUUAUGAUAAGACUGAUGCUGCUGUUGCAUCUAACAAAUCUGUGUCUGAUCUUGGAACAUUUGAAUGGCCAAGCGGAAGUCCAUGUGCCUCCCGUGCAAAUAUCUAUCGGCAUUCACCGUAUAAUGAUAAUACUGAGAAUGACGCUCAAGAUAUAUCAAAGAACGACGAGAGUAAUUCCUUGGGUACUUUUGAGUGGGGAAGUGGCAGUCCAGAACUGUACACGAAGAAGGUAGAUGAAACAGUUGACAGUGACCUCGGUACUUUUGAGUGGGCCCCAGGAAGUCCAGAAUUAGGCCGUCGUAAAGCAACAGACUCAGAAGAACAGGAUACGUCUGAGUGGAAUACGAAUGCAAGCCCCACAUUCCCAAGGAGAAUGAAAUUUGUCAACAGAUACGACACAGAAACGGAAACCGAGACGGAACUCAACAUGUCGGAUGAGACAGACGAUGAGAUAUCCAAAAUGCCGAGUGUCGCCGAAGAGACAGAAGACGACUUCAAUUUCGAGUGGCCGAGCAGUCCGGUGUUCAACCGACGUCUGCCUUUCAGUUCAGAUUAUGACACCCAAAACGACACGGAGGCGUUCGAAUGGCCAAGCAGCCCGGAUCUGCCCACAAUGAAAAAUCCAAAGUUCAUUAGUUUUACCGAAGACAUUGACCAAAUUCUUAGACACGACGUUGAGGACAACUUUGCCGAGAUGGAAAAAUUAUUGGGUUACUCCCCUCCACCGACGGAAGAGGAAGAAGGGGAUGAGACAAAGAGCACUUCCAGCAAGGUCAGCAGCAAUGCACUAGAUUCUAAAGCAUCGACGGACGGAGCCACAGUAGAGGAGGAGGAAGAGGAGGAGGAAGCAGAGGAAGAGGCGGAGAAUGAAGCAGAAAGCGAAACGAAAGUUGAGAAGAAGGAAUUGCUCAAGGAUCGGGCGAGAAAGAAUUUGUCACUUUUCAUAGGAAAACUAACAAAUAUCGAUGAGAUUCUGGGGUCAGUGCUGAAACCCUUGACGUCAUCAGCCACCAAGAAGAAGCAAGCUACAGAUGAUGAGGGUCCCCGCAGGAAAGUUGUUAAAGUUGCCAACAAAGUUGACUUCAAGAAUCUUCUGGACUCGAGUGUGGAGGAGAUCGACGCAGCCGACGUUAAGGUGCACGACGCCAAGGCCAACCGAGCGGAGAUCGACGAAAAUAUCGAGGAAAUUGACGCUUCGGCUGUGAUCAUCCGAGAGAAGGAGAAACGAGAAGCUCUUCGUGCCGAGAUCAUCAGCGCUGUCAAGGCAGGGUUGGACGACGCUACUUUGCAAGUGUAUCGCGACGGGGACUACGGCACCUACUUGGACCUCGAGUCUUCGCUGGCAGAACAAGCCGAGGACAUCGACGGCCUCACUGACAGUAAGAAGAAUGCCAUCAUUCUUCGAACCCAACUGUCAGUCCGCGUUCAUGCCAUCAUCGAAAAACUGCUCAACUCAGAGGGCCGGGAGCUGCGGCGCGCCCUCUUCUCCCUUAAACAGAUCUUCCAGGACGAUAAGGACCUCGUGCAUGCCUUCGUUCAGAAUGAUGGCCUCACUUGCCUCAUCAAGGUCGGAUCCUCAGCCGACCAGAAUUACCAAAACUACAUUCUCAGAGCACUCGGUCAAGUGAUGCUUUACGUCGAUGGCAUGAACGGCGUGAUGGAGCACCAGGAGACCAUCCAGUGGCUCUACUCACUGAUCUCCUCGAAGUAUCGGCUCGUAGUGAAGACGGCCCUCAAGCUCCUUCUCGUCUUUGUGGAGUACACAGAGUCCAACGCGCUCAAACUCAUCACUGCCAUUGAGAAUAUUGACACAUCCAGAGGUGAUUCCCCUUGGUCUACCAUCAUGCGGCUUCUCGAGGGACGCGACAGCUUGGACAUGGAGUUGUUGACUUAUGCCAUGACUCUUAUCAACAAAACCCUGAACGGCAUCCCGGACCAAGACACUUACUAUGAUCACACUGAUUACCUGGAGGAGCAGGGCAUGGAGACUCUCAUUGAAAAAUACAUGCACCGUCCAGAUAGCGAUUUGGACUUGUUGCAACAGUUCACUAUUUAUGAAGCAGUUUUGUCAUAUGAGGAUGGUGAUGAUGAAUGCCGCACCCGCACUAUCGAUCCAACUAUAAGACAAGUCCCAAGAAUAUCAUCUACAGAUAGAGACUCCAUUGAUCGUCGCAAGUCUCGAAGACACCAUCAAUCACCUUCACCAACCAAAAUGAAAAAGUUAGGAGUUAACUUGGGAGACAGUGGUGGCAGACAGUCCAGCAGUGAUGAGGACCAUGUGACCAUUAUCAACAUCAAUGGUGAAUCCUUUGGCAUACCCCAGGAUGAUCUGAGUAAUGUUAAGCAUGCAGAUGCAGGAGUCACACCUGCACUGCGGCGACGUCGUGAGCGAGCAGAACGCCAUAGAACCUUCAUCAACGAGCAGGAAAUCAUCAAUGAAAGUCGCCGAGGCUCUCAAUCAUCUGACAAUGUGGAAGAUGAAAAUCGCAAGAACAUUGAACUGUCUGGUCUCAACAAGCAAGCUUCUUGGAUGAUGGAUAUGAUGUAUGCCAAACGUGAGGAAGAUGGUACAGGUCGUAGAGAAUCUCUUACCAACAUACAGGACAUUGCCUCAAGAAUAUCUAGCCUUCAAGACAAAGAAAAUGUUGAUAACAAUAUGCGUAUGCCUAUUGAAAUCAAUUCAGGAGCAUCAGUAAAGGAACUACAAGAUAAGAUGAUGAACACCAGUUCAGGUCAACUUGCUGAUGGAGAAAAGUCAGGCCGAAAGGGUGACAUUAGUGAUCGUAUCAACAAAAUAAAAGAUGGUCUCUCUAAGUCACAUUCCAAGGGAGAGAUAAAGGACAGUCCCAUUCCAGUACCAGAACCACCAAAGAAGUCAGAAAACGACAUACAGUGGGAGCUUCUGAUGAAGCACCUGAACAGACCUCUGCAACUCUGUGAUCUUGAUUUCUCUGACUUGACUGCUCAGGAUGAUCAAGUAACAGUGGAGGUUAAUAAACCUGGAGGUCCACCACCUCCACCUCCACCUGGUGGAACAAUACCUGCAGGACCACCACCACCACCACCUCCUGGUGGGCCACCUCCUCCUCCUCCACCUGUUGGAGGACCUCCACCACCACCACCGGCACCUGGGAAGCGGCCAGGUCCUCCUCCACCUCCAUCAGCACCUCAAGAUGGUGAUGCUCCACCACCACCUCCUCCUCCUCAGAAUGGUGUUGAUGGUCAGCAGGAAGAUUCAAGCAAGCCACACAAGACUAAGAAAACUAUAAAGCUCUUCUGGAAGGAGGUGCGUGAUCCAAGAAUACCUGAGGCUACUAUAUGGGACAAAAUGGAGGACAUUCCAGUUGAUACGCAAAAACUUGAGCAUCUCUUUGAAUCCAGAGCAAAGGACCUUAUAGCAAAGGAGAAACAACAAGAGCAAAAGGGCAUAAAGGAAAUUGUGGUGCUGGACCCGAAGAGAUCUAAUGUCAUCAAUAUUGGUAUGACUAAGCUGCCACCACCACGUACAAUCAAGACAGCAAUUUUGAAGAUGGACUCCUCAAUCAUCAAUCGUGAAGGCAUUGAGAAACUCCUAACUACCAUGUUACCAACACCAGAAGAAAAGCAGAAGAUUCAGGAGGCUGCGAUAUGCAACCCAGAGUUACCUUUAGGUUCAGCUGAACAAUUCCUUAUGAUGCUGUCGUCUAUAUCAGAGCUCCCAGCUAGAUUAAAACUUUGGAUUUUCAAAUUGGAUUAUGAUAAUAUAGAGAAGGAAGUGGCUGAACCUCUGAUGGAUGUAAAGCAAGGCACAGAGGAUCUCAUGAAGAACCACACUUUCAAAACUAUUUUAGCUGUUCUUAGAGCCAUUGGUAACUUCCUGAAUGGCACAGAUUGCAGAGGUUUCCACAUUGAUUAUUUGUCUAAAGUCCCUGAGGUUAAAGAUACUGUCCACAAACAUUCUCUCUUGCACCAUCUGUGUCACAUGGUUAUUGAAAAAUAUCCAGACACAUCUGAUCUCUAUUCAGAGAUUGGUUCUAUAACUCGUGCUUCUAAGGUUGACUUUGAUGAACUAGCAAAGAAUAUUGUCAGAAUGGAGAUCGAGUGCAAAUCCUCAUGGGACCAUCUGAAAGCCAUAGCCAAGCAUGAUGGGCCAACACAAAUAAAGCUGAAAAUGUCUGAGUUCUUGGCUGACUGUGCAGAGAGAAUUAUUGUUUUGGGCAUUAUCUAUCGUCGUGUGAUGACCAGGUUCCAGAAGUUCCUCCUGUGGCUUGGCUUCCCCCAGCAUGUAUCUCAGGAAAUGAAAGUGCAGGAAGUGUGCUCAACCAUUAGUGAAUUUGCCCUUGAGUACAGAACCUGCAGAGAACGGGUGAUACAGCAGAUACAGAAGAAGGCAAACCACCGUGAGAGGAACAAGACUCGUGGCAAGAUGAUUAUGGAAGAGAUGGAGCACCGAGGCUCCCUUAAGCCCUGUCUCAAGAGUCGCUCGAUGGAGAAGUUCAAGAGACCAAAGCAGACGAAGGAGGAGAAGGCAGACUCCGACCUCAGGCAGCUCCUUAACUACUCUGAUGUAUCUGACACUGAAACUAUUCGUGGAAAGAGUACAUGGAGAAGGACUAGAGAAGGUAAAGCACGCAGUCGAGGUGAGGAGGCAAUGGCAGAGAUGAUGGGAGAAGGGGAUGAUGCACUGCUCGAUUCCUUAGUGAAGACAGCCACACAAGGGCCCUCAUCUAGAACUACGCCUCGUGAACGCAAACGGUCUCGACAUGCAGACCGCAAGUCUUUCCCAGCAGCAAAUGGUCCACGACGAUCUAGAUCAAGAAAAGGUGUGCCAGACUUGUCCCACCUGGAGGCUUUGGUACUUCCCAAAUGAGAACCCUUCACCACCAGCCACCACCCUGGGGACACCUCGCUGCUAAAAUCUCUUGCGGCGCACCCUGAAGAAUGGACUUACAGAAGAGGAAAAACGUCUCCUUGCAAUGAUUGCUGCACAGACCCGUUGAAGCCCCAGCAAACAAGUCUUUCCAUAGCAAUUAUCACCCACUUCUGCUAUUCUCAUUCUCUGAGACUUUCAUGAUACCAAGGCUCGUUCUAGAGUCUUAAAUAGUAUUAGCAGAUGUUUAUGUUUAUUCUGUAGGCUGACAUCAUAAAUAUGUAGUGCUAUGUGGGUGAUAUGAUCUAGUCAGUCAGGAGUAGUGAAAACAUCUCCAGGGUCUCUGAUAGCUGCAUCGUGGUCAUUUCCAGCAAAUAUGUUUUAGCUUCAUACAAAUGAUCUAUGAAAACCAAUGUCCAUACUUUCCUAGCCUGAUUUUCAUAAUGCAAUUAUCAAUUGCCUAACUCCUAAUGAUGUAGGAACCUCAUACUGCUGCACUUCUGAUGUAGUGCAUAUGGUUUAAAGAUUUUUGUAGGGUUAUUAUGGGAGUCCCUGCAAAAUUUACAAACUACCUUUGUCUUUUCAUAUUUCCAGCAGCUUUUUUUCUUUUUUUUUCCAAGAUACUGUUUAGGUUGCAAAUUAAUUUUUAAUAUCCCAUGUAUGGCAAGUAUUUUUCAUAUUUAGGAGUUUUAGAAGAUUAUUUAAUCUGCUGUGAUGUCCUGUUGAAAAUAUUGGCUAAUGCCUUCUUUGUAAAUAGUCCUGCAUCAAGUUGUAAAGAGUGCUAUUGCCCUGUGCAGGCUUGUGCCAUGAGAUGUGUAUGCUUCUUGAAGUAUGUAAAGGGUACAUCCCCCAAAAUUUCAGUUCAGAGGACAUCACGCCUUUUGAAGACACUUGUCCCUUCAUGAACAUGUCUCUCUUUUCAUCAUUUUUCAAGAGGAACUGGUCCUAUAAUUGUAAUUUUGGUGAUUCACCUAAGGUCACAAACACAUCUUCAUGCUGGUCAUAGAUGAAUGACAAAUUGGAAUAUUUUGGACAUGGUGUUUGCAAUUUCAAAAGAACUUCAAUCAAAAUUAAAACAAAAUUGGACAGCAUUAUCAUGCCCAGUUUUCAAUUUGUAAGUUUUAAUGUGUCCUAUUUGUAGCGCCCACACAUAUCCCAACUGCAUAGAUGCUUACACUGCAUACAUGUGAAAGAAACCAUUAUUCCAGUAUACAUUUUCUCUGCCUUGCUUGGAUAUUUUUUAGUAUCCUGAGUAAAUUAGCUUAUAAUGUUUUCCAAUUAUGAUCUGAAGGGCAGAGAAGCAAUAAAUACUCAUUGUUAGUGGAAACAUAUUGUCCUACUGUAGAUGAGGCAUAUGUGGGUUGUUGCAUGGGGGUUCGCCUUUACUGGAUGAUUAUUGAUUUAAGAUGCAUUAAUAUAAUGCAAUAAGUCAGGUUUAAAUAUAUUAUGACAUUUUAAUGUUACUUUUGAGAUUUUGAUACUCAAAAUAGUGCUUCAUGAAAUUUAAAUAAAAAAAAAAGGCUG